This 1283-nucleotide long non-coding RNA is filed under the name Macaca mulatta (Rhesus monkey). RNAcentral's name for it is "lncRNA (ENSMMUG00000021980.4)". The record is from RNAcentral. Lineage: Eukaryota; Metazoa; Chordata; Mammalia; Primates; Cercopithecidae.
CAAUCCUAGCAAAAUGAACAAGGCUGAAGGCAUCACACUUCCUGACAUCAAAAUAUACUACAAAGUCAUAGUAAACAAAAGAACAUGGUACUGGCAUAAAAACAGGCACAUAGACCAAUGGAACAGAGUAGAGAAUCCAGAAAUAAAUCCACAUAUUUAUAGCCAACUGAUUUUUGACAAAGGUGCCAACAGCAUUUAGUGGGGAAAUGAAAAUCUCUUCAAUAAAUGGUGCUGGGAAAACUGAAUAUCUAUAUGCUGAAAAACAAGAGUAGACUCUUAUCUCUCACCAUAUACAAAAAUCAAAUGAAAGUGGAUUAAAUACUUAAAUGUAAGACCUUAAACUAUGAAACUACUAGAAGAAAACAUUAGGCCUUUCCGUCUGGUGGCAGCCAUCAGUACCGCCAGCUCUCUGCUCUCCACAGGGCUCCCCGCCCCACCCGGCCUGAUAAAGCGUGCCGACUGGGCUACAAAGCCAAGCAAGGUUACGUUAUAUAUAGGAUUCGUGUUCGCCGUGGUGGCCAAAAACGCCCUGUUCCUAAGGGUGCAACUUACGGCAAGCCUGUCCAUCAUGGUGUUAACCAGCUAAAGUUUGCUCGAAGCCUUCAGUCCGUUGCAGAGGAGUGAGCUGGACGCCACUGUGGGGCUCUGAGAGUCCUGAAUUCUUACUGGGUUGGAGAAGAUUCCACAUACAAAUUUUUUGAGGUUAUCCUCAUUGAUCCAUUCCAUAAAGCUAUCAGAAGAAAUCCUGACACCCAAUGGAUCACCAAACCAGUCCACAAGCACAGGGAGAUGCAUGGGCUGACAUCUGCAGGUCGAAAGAGCCUUGGCCUUGGAAAGGGCCGUAAGUUCCACCACACUAUUGGUGGUUCUCACCGGGCAGCUUGGAGAAGGCGCAAUACUCUCCAGCUCCACCGUUACCGCUAAUAUAAGUAAAGUUUGUAAAAUUCAUACCUAAUAAACAAUUUAGGACAGUCAUGUCUGCUUACAGGUGUUAUUUGUCUGUUAAAACUAGUCUGCAGCUUGUUUCUUGAAUGCUUUGUCAAAUUAAGAAAGUUAAAGUGCAAUAAUGUUUGAAGACAAUAAGUGGUGGUGUAUCUUGUUUCUAAUAAGAUAAACUUUUUUGUCUUUAUCUUAUUAGGGAGUUGUAUGUCAGUGUAUAAAACAUACUGUGGUAUAAUAGGUUUAAAAUAAAUUCUUUAAGAGAAAAAAAAGAGAACAUUAGGGAAAUGAUCUAGGACAUUGAUCUGGACAAAGAUUUUUUUGGGUAAGACCUCAAAAGUAUA